GGGAUCACUAUCAUCACAAGGCAAAUACAUUAGUUUCCAAAAAUGGGUGCAAACAAUAAAGAAGGAAAACAAAAUCGUAAGACAUGAAUUCGAAUGUGAAGGAAUAUAUUGGUAGAUUUCAAGGAUACUUUUCGAGUUGAAUAUCGUAGCACGGGGCAAGGUCGACCUCUGGAAGCUAAUGGAACUUUGAUCUCUAUGUACACGCCAACCUUCUUUCCAGGUUCCAAAGGUAAAUCUAGUGUUCUCCCCGGUAUUGGACAUGGUAGAAACAUAUGAAUAUGAGAAGACUGGAGUACCCAAACUCUGGUGUGCAUUGGAGUCACCCGACAAAAAAAUAUUGAUGAAGAUAAGCAAAAU
This 357-nucleotide unclassified non-coding RNA is filed under the name Hevea brasiliensis (rubber tree). Lineage: Eukaryota; Viridiplantae; Streptophyta; Magnoliopsida; Malpighiales; Euphorbiaceae. The record is from RNAcentral.